Molecule: ribosomal RNA, 253 nt
Filed under: uncultured bacterium
Lineage: Bacteria
Description: partial 16S ribosomal RNA
Rfam family: Bacterial small subunit ribosomal RNA
Source: RNAcentral
UACGAGGGGGGCAAGCGUUGUUCGGAAUUACUGGGCGUAAAGCGUGCGCAGGCGGCUUUGCAAGACAGAUGUGAAAUCCCCGGGCUUAACCUGGGAACUGCAUUUGUGACUGCAUGGCUGGAGUGCGGCAGAGGGGGAUGGAAUUCCGCGUGUAGCAGUGAAAUGCGUAGAUAUGCGGAGGAACACCGAUGGCGAAGGCAAUCCCCUGGGCCUGCACUGACGCUCAUGCACGAAAGCGUGGGGAGCAAACAGG